RNAcentral lists this ribosomal RNA (484 nucleotides) under uncultured bacterium. Its description in RNAcentral is "partial 16S ribosomal RNA". It matches the Rfam family "Bacterial small subunit ribosomal RNA", at positions 30 to 507 of the family's 1533-position model. The record is from RNAcentral.
AUUGAACGCUGGCGGCAGGCCUAACACAUGCAAGUCGAGCGGAUGAAGGGAGCUUGCUCCUGGAUUCAGCGGCGGACGGGUGAGUAAUGCCUAGGAAUCUGCCUGGUAGUGGGGGAUAACGUCCGGAAACGGGCGCUAAUACCGCAUACGUCUUGAGGGAGAAAGUGGGGGAUCUUCGGACCUCACGCUAUCAGAUGAGCCUAGGUCGGAUUAGCUAGUUGGUGGGGUAAAGGCCUACCAAGGCGACGAUCCGUAACUGGCCUGAGAGGAUGAUCAGUCACACUGGAACUGAGACGCGGUCCAGACUCCUACGGGAGGCAGCAGUGGGGAAUAUUGGACAAUGGGCGAAAGCCUGAUCCAGCCAUGCCGCGUGUGUGAAGAAGGUCUUCGGAUUGUAAAGCACUUUAAGUUGGGAGGAAGGGCAGUAAGUUGAUACCUUGCUGUUUUGACGUUACCAACAGAAUAAGCACCGGCUAACUUCGUG